Molecule: ribosomal RNA, 720 nt
Filed under: Burkholderia sp. PTGR-8
Lineage: Bacteria; Pseudomonadati; Pseudomonadota; Betaproteobacteria; Burkholderiales; Burkholderiaceae
Description: bacterial SSU rRNA
Rfam family: Bacterial small subunit ribosomal RNA
Source: RNAcentral
GGCAGCACGGGGGCAACCCUGGUGGCGAGUGGCGAACGGGUGAGUAAUACAUCGGAACGUGUCCUGUAGUGGGGGAUAGCCCGGCGAAAGCCGGAUUAAUACCGCAUACGAUCUACGGAAGAAAGCGGGGGAUCGCAAGACCUCGCGCUAUAGGGGCGGCCGAUGGCAGAUUAGCUAGUUGGUGGGGUAAAGGCCUACCAAGGCGACGAUCUGUAGCUGGUCUGAGAGGACGACCAGCCACACUGGGACUGAGACACGGCCCAGACUCCUACGGGAGGCAGCAGUGGGGAAUUUUGGACAAUGGGGGAAACCCUGAUCCAGCAAUGCCGCGUGUGUGAAGAAGGCCUUCGGGUUGUAAAGCACUUUUGUCCGGAAAGAAAACUUCUGCCCUAAUACGGUGGGAGGAUGACGGUACCGGAAGAAUAAGCACCGGCUAACUACGUGCCAGCAGCCGCGGUAAUACGUAGGGUGCGAGCGUUAAUCGGAAUUACUGGGCGUAAAGCGUGCGCAGGCGGUUCGUUAAGACAGAUGUGAAAUCCCCGGGCUUAACCUGGGAACUGCAUUUGUGACUGGCGAGCUAGAGUAUGGCAGAGGGGGGUAGAAUUCCACGUGUAGCAGUGAAAUGCGUAGAGAUGUGGAGGAAUACCGAUGGCGAAGGCAGCCCCCUGGGCCAAUACUGACGCUCAUGCACGAAAGCGUGGGGAGCAAACAGGAUUAGAU